AACGUAGGAGACAAGCGUUAUCCGGAGUUACUGGGCGUAAAGGGCGUGCAGGCGGCUUACUCAGUCUGGUGUGAAAGCGCUCGGCUAAACCGGGCGAGGCCACUGGAUACUGGUAGGCUGGAGGACGGUAGAGGCGAGUGGAAUUCCGGGUGUAGUGGUGAAAUGCGUAGAGAUCCGGAGGAACACCAGUGGCGAAGGCGACUCGCUGGGCCGUACCUGACGCUGAGACGCGACAGCAUGGGGAGCGAACGGG
RNAcentral lists this ribosomal RNA (253 nucleotides) under uncultured bacterium. RNAcentral describes it as "partial 16S ribosomal RNA". It matches the Rfam family "Bacterial small subunit ribosomal RNA", at positions 524 to 776 of the family's 1533-position model. The record is from RNAcentral.